This 253-nucleotide ribosomal RNA is filed under the name uncultured prokaryote. RNAcentral's name for it is "partial 16S ribosomal RNA". It matches the Rfam family "Bacterial small subunit ribosomal RNA", at positions 524 to 776 of the family's 1533-position model. The record is from RNAcentral.
UACAGAGGGUGCAAGCGUUAAUCGGAAUUACUGGGCGUAAAGCGCACGUAGGCGGCGCGCUAAGUUGGAUGUGAAAUCCCCGGGCUUAACUUGGGAAUUGCAUUCAAGACUGGCGUGCUGGAGUGUGGGAGAGAGAAGUGGAAUUCCAGGAGUAGCGGUGAAAUGCGUAGAUACCUGGAGGAACAUCAGUGGCGAAGGCGGCUUCUUGGCCCAACACUGACGCUGAGGUGCGAAAGCGUGGGGAUCAAACAGG